CGGAACGUGUCCUGUAGUGGGGGAUAGCCCGGCGAAAGCCGGAUUAAUACCGCAUACGCUCUACGGAGGAAAGGGGGGGAUCUCAGGACCUCUCGUUAUAGGGGCGGCCGAUGGCAGAUUAGCUAGUUGGUGGGGUAAAGGCCUACCAAGGCGACGAUCUGUAGCUGGUCUGAGAGGACGACCAGCCACACUGGGACUGAGACACGGCCCAGACUCCUACGGGAGGCAGCAGUGGGGAAUUUUGGACAAUGGGCGCAAGCCUGAUCCAGCAAUGCCGCGUGUGUGAAGAAGGCCUUCGGGUUGUAAAGCACUUUUGUCCGGAAAGAAAUCCUCUGAGUUAAUACCUCGGGGGGAUGACGGUACCGGAAGAAUAAGCACCGGCUAACUACGUGCCAGCAGCCGCGGUAAUACGUAGGGUGCAAGCGUUAAUCGGAAUUACUGGGCGUAAAGCGUGCGCAGGCGGUUCGCUAAGACAGAUGUGAAAUCCCCGGGCUUAACCUGGGAACUGCAUUUGUGACUGGCGGGCUAGAGUAUGGCAGAGGGGGGUAGAAUUCCACGUGUAGCAGUGAAAUGCGUAGAGAUGUGGAGGAAUACCGAUGGCGAAGGCAGCCCCCUGGGCCAAUACUGACGCUCA
This 634-nucleotide ribosomal RNA is filed under the name Paraburkholderia sp. RNAcentral describes it as "bacterial SSU rRNA". It matches the Rfam family "Bacterial small subunit ribosomal RNA", at positions 119 to 749 of the family's 1533-position model. The record is from RNAcentral. Lineage: Bacteria; Pseudomonadati; Pseudomonadota; Betaproteobacteria; Burkholderiales; Burkholderiaceae.